UUCUCCAUGAUUUCUAUCUCUAAAUAACCACUUUCUAAUCGUGGUUGUCUCUCAUUAGUAAAAUCUAUCACUUAUAUAAUUCAAAAGAAUAAAAGAAAAAUUUCCCAUGAAUACAAUCUAGCAAAUCGAGAAGGAAAAAUAAAAAAAAUGAAAUGGGAGAAUUGCACAACAAAGUUUGCUCAUUAAUCUGGAAAUUGCAGUGUUCGCUUUGGUGGCAAUCAAACGCAUGCAUUAAUUAGAGUUUGGGACGAUACCUACAUAGUGCUUCUCUUCUGUGCCAUUUUUCUUGACAUUUGUUGGUUUAUAUUUACUCACCACAUCAGGAACAUUUCUUCAUAUUGGAAUAUAGCAAUACCUCUUGAGAAGCUGAUUCAUCAAAUUGUUUCCUUAGCCCUUUAACUCCAGCUGAUGUCCUUAGAGAAAGCUUUGAUUCUGAUAUUGCUUAGGUAAUGCCCAAAGCUUCACUUCUAAUCACCUGUUAGUUGAUUAGGUUUUUAAAAUUUUCAAUAGUAUUGGUACGUAUUUGUCGCUUGUUGUCCUAUUUUUGUAA
Long non-coding RNA from Mercurialis annua (annual mercury), 550 nucleotides. RefSeq lists it as uncharacterized. The record is from RefSeq and is a predicted model, not a curated record. The transcript is spliced from 4 exons. NCBI's taxonomy places the organism in Eukaryota, Viridiplantae, Streptophyta, Magnoliopsida, Malpighiales, Euphorbiaceae.